Cyprinus carpio (common carp) is the source of this 386-nucleotide long non-coding RNA. RefSeq lists it as uncharacterized. Lineage: Eukaryota; Metazoa; Chordata; Actinopteri; Cypriniformes; Cyprinidae. The record is from RefSeq and is a predicted model, not a curated record. The transcript is spliced from 3 exons.
GCCAGGAUGUCAGUGUUGGAAUGUAACACAUGGUUUGUCCUCACUGAAGGAAUUAUGACAUGCAGCACGUCUGCGACCCAGCAGAGGUGCAGUGUGGUCUCAUCUGUGCGAUCUCUCUUUACGGAUCUCGGUCUCUGAUAGGGGCCACCAUAGACAAACACAAUCUGAGAAGUAGUAGUCAGGGAAGGGAAACAACUGAAGCUCGCAAAAGAAUUCACCAUUCGUGGAUUGGAGUACAACACUGCGUUAUAAAGAGUUUCUGAAAUGGAUGUUGUGUGGCAAAGAAGGAUGGCAAGAUUAAAACUGACAAACCCUGCGGAUGCCGUGAUGCUAAUUCCUGCCAUCAAGGGCUACAGGAAGAAUAAUAAUUAUGAAGAAGACAGAAA